Molecule: long non-coding RNA, 908 nt
Organism: Schistocerca serialis cubense
Lineage: Eukaryota; Metazoa; Arthropoda; Insecta; Orthoptera; Acrididae
Exons: 3
Source: RefSeq, a predicted model, not a curated record
GUACGUCCCCGCGGGCGUUGCUGACGGUCCAGUUUGGCCACGACAGGGACAGGCACGCGCGCGACUGCAAGCUGGGAGUCGACCGCUGUAGAGAUAAAAUUAAAACUGCCGCAUCAGCUGCACGUGCUGCGCCACUCUGUGCGGCUGUCAGUGGUCACGUGGUCACUCUCGCACUCGCAGACGAGCUCCUGCACGCCCACGCAGCCCUGACGCCCGCCAGAAUCGUCUUAGUCCAGGGGCAGCGGCGACAGAUCGUACAGCUACCACAGCACAGGUAACAGAGCUCGUGAGACCAGACACAAACUGUUGCGAACCACCUAUUAGCAGUGAGACUGUGGGCACCCACACUUCUAGCUCCUUUCCCCUCCCCCCCUCCCACACACACCACAGCAUCGACGUGGAGAGGUCGACUGGUGCCGCCAGGGCUUCCUUCACCUGGACGAAGGAAUGGCGCGCCCUGGUCUUCAGCGACGCCAGCAGAUACUGCCUGCAUCCAAGUGACGGUCGUUUGUGCAUACGAAGGAGAGCUGAAAGAUGGUGCGUUGUUCCAAGAGGAUAAUGCUCGUCCACAUACUGCUCAUCAAACUCAAUGGCCCUGCAAGACGUGUGGCAACUUCCCUGGCUGGCAAGAUCUCUGGACUCCUCUGCAGUCCAGCAGGUGUGGGCUAUGAUGGGACGACAAGUGACAGGUGCGACGUGUCAAGCGAGGACUCUUACACAACUACGUGACAUCACGUAUCCCAGGGCUGUAUUCGCCAGCUGUACGACCCACUGGAUCACAGAGUCAGCGCCUGUGUUGCCGCCUGUGGUGGCUACGCCACGUGCUAGUAUGGAUGUCUCAGGUUGGGUCGAUGCCUGGUUCGUCCAAACCGCGUGUGCUAUUCGUCUCUAUGUGUUAUCAUUUCACG